RNAcentral lists this ribosomal RNA (399 nucleotides) under Triticum aestivum (bread wheat). RNAcentral's name for it is "partial small subunit ribosomal RNA". Lineage: Eukaryota; Viridiplantae; Streptophyta; Magnoliopsida; Poales; Poaceae. The record is from RNAcentral.
AUGGAGGCGGCCGUCGCCGGGCACGACGACUCCACGGACCGCUCCUCCGCACCCUUCUCCCCCUUCGCCGAGAAGCUGGACUGCGUCGGCGGCGCCGGCUCCCCCACCCCCAAGAAGGCGCCCCGCAAGGUCCCCAAGACGUCCCACAAGGUGCUGGACGCGCCGUCCCUGCAGGAUGACUUCUACCUGAACCUCGUCGACUGGUCCUCACAGAACAUGCUCGCCGUCGGCCUCGGCACCUGCGUCUACCUCUGGUCCGCAUCCAGCUGCAAGGUUACCAAGCUAUGCGAUCUGGGGCCGAGGGACAGCGUCUGCGCCGUGCACUGGACGCGUGAGGGCUCCUACCUCGCCAUCGACACCAACCUUUUAAAUGCUAUACAUUUCAGUAGUGCUAUAUGA